UACCUGGUUGAUCCUGCCAGUAGUCAUAUGCUUGUCUCAAAGAUUAAGCCAUGCAUGUCUAAGUACAUACUGUUUAUAAAGUGAAACCGCGAAUGGCUCAUUAAAUCAGUUACGGUUCCUCGGAUAUUCUUUUUUACAUGGAUAACUGUGGUAAUUCUAGAGCUAAUACAUGAACAAGUGUUCCAACCUCAGCUUGCUGACGGAAGGAUCGCAUUUAUUAGUACAAGACCAAUGAUUCUUAUUCACCUAGAACCCUGUUCAGUGAUUUCGGUCGCUGUCUAAGGACUAGCAGUGGGGAUCUUAGCAACUUCGGUUGCAUUUCUUGUGAUGACUCUGAAUAACUGAGCAAAUCGUAUGGCCUCUGAGCCGACGAUGUAUCCCUCAAGCAACUGCCUUAUCAACUGUCGAUGGUAGGUUAUGCGCCUACCAUGGUUGUAACGGGUAACGGGGAAUUAGGGUUCGAUUCCGGAGAGGGAGCCUGAGAAACGGCUACCACAUCUAAGGAAGGCAGCAGGCGCGCAAAUUACACAAUCCCAGUACGGGGAUGUAGUGACGAAAAAUAACAAUACGGGACUCUAUUGAGGCCCCGUAAUUGGAAUGAGUACAAUUUAAAUCCUUUAACGAGGAUCUAUUGGAGGGCAAGUCUGGUGCCAGCAGCCGCGGUAAUUCCAGCUCCAAUAGCGUAUAUUAAAGUUGCUGCGGUUAAAAAGCUCGUAGUUGGAUUUCAGUCGAACCUAUGGGGUCCACUGAUUAAAGGGUUAGAUGGUGAUGUUAGGUUUCUUGCUUGUGUCUACGGAUGCUUGCUUGAACCUUCAUUCCUCUUUCCUGGUGGUUACAUUCAUAGUGUUUAGACAGAAAAUUGCUCGAUAUUUGCUAUCAAUGCUCUUUACCGAGUGUUGAUUCAAGCGAUCGAGACUUUUACCUUGAAAAAAUCAGAGUGCUCAAAGCAGGCGUCCAAAACCUCGAAAGAGGUGCCUAAAAACGGUAUGGUCAACCAUCUAUAUGAUGCGUACCACUACCUUAACUUGAAUGAUCUUGCAUGGAAUAAUGGAAUAGGACCUUGGUUCUAUUUUGUUGGUCUUAAGAAUCCAAGGUAAUGAUUAAGAGGGACAGACGGGGGCAUUUGUAUUGCGGCGCUAGAGGUGAAAUUCUUGGACCGUCGCAAGACAAACUACAGCGAAAGCAUUUGCCAAGAAUGUUUUCAUUAAUCAAGAACGAAAGUUAGAGGUUCGAAGGCGAUCAGAUACCGCCCUAGUUCUAACCAUAAACGAUGCCAACCAGCGAUCAUUCUGAGUAACUAAUUUCAUGACUCGAAUGGAAGCUUCCGGGAAACCAAAGUUUUUGGGUUCCGGGGGAAGUAUGGUUGCAAAGCUGAAACUUAAAGGAAUUGACGGAAGGGCACCACCAGGAGUGGAGCUUGCGGCUUAAUUUGACUCAACACGGGAAAACUCACCCGGCCCGGACACUGAGAGGAUUGACAGAUUGAGAGCUCUUUCUUGAUUCAGUGGGUGGUGGUGCAUGGCCGUUCUUAGUUGGUGGAGUGAUUUGUCUGGUUAAUUCCGAUAACGAACGAGACUCUAGCCUACUAAAUAGACUUGCAGUUUACACUGCAGUACUCCCCCUUAGUCAACCUGUGGGUGGUAGUAUCUCUUGAUGGUUUCGGCUGUUGAGGGCUCUGCUGCUAUUAGCCUACAGAAUUGGCUAGGGUAAGGAUGCUGUAGCACUGUAAGGACUUCUUAGAGGGACAAGCGGCGCUCGCAGCCGCACGAAACAGAGCAAUAACAGGUCUGUGAUGCCCUUAGAUGUCCGGGGCCGCACGCGUGCUACACUGAAGUGGUCAUCGUGCAUACUGUUUCCUGCUCCGAAAGGAGUGGGUAACCGCUUGAACCCAUUUCGUGAUGGGGAUUGGGCAUUGUAAUUAUUGCCCAUGAACGAGGAAUUCCCAGUAAGCGUGAGUCAUUAGCUUGCGUUGAUUACGUCCCUGCCCUUUGUACACACCGCCCGUCGCUACUACCGAUUGAAUGAUUUAGUGAGGACUUCGGACUGGUCAAUCCAGACCAUUGGGAAACUAGUGGUCGGAUUGUGCUGGAAAGAUGUUCAAACUUGAUCAUUUAGAGGAAGUAAAAGUCGUAACAAGGUUUCCGUAGGUGAACCUGCGGAAGGAUCAUUA
This is a ribosomal RNA of Tetranychus urticae (two-spotted spider mite), 2170 nucleotides long. It matches the Rfam family "Eukaryotic small subunit ribosomal RNA". NCBI's taxonomy places the organism in Eukaryota, Metazoa, Arthropoda, Arachnida, Trombidiformes, Tetranychidae. The record is from Rfam.